This is a non-coding RNA of Paramuricea clavata, 442 nucleotides long. The record is from the annotation of a GenBank genome assembly. NCBI's taxonomy places the organism in Eukaryota, Metazoa, Cnidaria, Anthozoa, Malacalcyonacea, Plexauridae.
AAAAAAGUAAUCGAACUUCAGCGCGCUAUUGUAUCUGAAUUACUCUGCGUAUGAACGAGAUUUUUUCACAUUCGGAAAGAUCAUGCUUUUAGCUGUUGAAUGAUAUCUUCUUCAUGCCAAAUGGAUAAAAAAUGAGCAAAUACGAAUCCGAUAAAAAAUGUUAGUCAGAAUCGCAUAUUUUCACCGUUGAGAGUUGGGUCUAAAACCAUUGAAAAUGAACCCCCUUUGGUACUUAAGUUGAUGAAUUUCACUUCAAUAAACGACGCACAUAUUCAUAAUUAUUAUUAAGUAGGAAUAAAUCUUAGCUAAGCUACGACACGUUCGUGAUUAAUUGCUUUUUCUUUUGUUAUGCAUUGUUUUAAUUAGGCACAGAGGUGAAAAUAUGCGAUUUUGACUAACAUUUUUGAUCGGCCUCGUACAUGCUUAUUUUUUCUCCACUUGG